GCAUUGGGAGUUCAAUGGUAGAAUUCUCGCCUCCCAUGCGGGAGAAGCGGGUUCAAUUCCCGGCCAAUGCA
Non-coding RNA from Piliocolobus tephrosceles (Ugandan red Colobus), 71 nucleotides. The record is from the annotation of a RefSeq genome assembly. NCBI's taxonomy places the organism in Eukaryota, Metazoa, Chordata, Mammalia, Primates, Cercopithecidae.